Molecule: ribosomal RNA, 541 nt
Filed under: uncultured Glomeromycotina
Lineage: Eukaryota; Fungi; Glomeromycota
Description: SSU rRNA
Rfam family: Eukaryotic small subunit ribosomal RNA
Source: RNAcentral
GCAAGUCUGGUGCCAGCAGCCGCGGUAAUUCCAGCUCCAAUAGCGUAUAUUAAAGUUGUCGCAGUUAAAAAGCUCGUAGUUGAACCUCGGGAUCAAUGGAUCGGUCAUGCCAUCGGUAUGUACUGGUCUCAUUGGUUCUCACCUUCUAAGGAACCAUGAUGUCAUUCAGUUGAUGUUGUGGGGAAUUAGGACUGUUACCUUGAAAAAAUUAGAGUGUUUAAAGCAGGCUAACGCUUGAAUACAUUAGCAUGGAAUAAUGAAAUAGGACAUCGCAUUCUAUUUUGUUGGUUUCUAGGAUCGAUGUAAUGAUUAAUAGGGAUAGUUGGGGGCAUUAGUAUUCAAUUGUCAGAGGUGAAAUUCUUGGAUUUAUUGAAGACUAACUACUGCGAAAGCAUUUGCCAGGGAUGUUUUCAUUAAUCAAGAACGAAAGUUAGGGGAUCGAAGACGAUCAGAUACCGUCGUAGUCUUAACCAUAAACUAUGCCGACUAGGGAUCGGACGAUGUUAACUUUUCUUGACUCGUUCGGCGCCUUACGGGAAAC